CGCAUCUGUGCAUGCAGCAUAUCAAUAAGCGGAGGAAAAGAAACUAACAAGGAUUCCCCUAGUAACGGCGAGUGAAGCGGGAAGAGCUCAAAUUUGAAAUCUUAAAGGGUUUCCCUUUACGAAUUGUAGUUUAAAGAAGUGUUUUCUGUUGAGGUUUUGGUAAAAGUUCUUUGGAAUAGGACAUCAUAGAGGGUGAGAAUCCCGUAUUUGACCUUUACUUUCAACUUUGUGAUACACUUUCAAAGAGUUGGAUUGUUUGGGAAUGCAGUCCAAAAUGGGUGGUAAAUUUCAUCUAAAGCUAAAUAUUGGCGAGAGACCGAUAGCGAACAAGUACCGUGAGGGAAAGAUGAAAAGAACUUUGAAAAGAGAGUUAAACAGUACGUGAAAUUGUCAAAAGGGAAGCGUUUGACACCAGUGUUGGUUCUCUGAAAAUCAAUUAAAGAACUGUUUAUGCUAAGUUGUUUAGACUUUAUCAGCUAACUGUUUAGUUUUGAGCUUUUCUUUAAUGCACUUUUCAGUUAACAAGUCAACAUCAAUUUCUUUUGCUGUAAAAAAGCUUGAGGAAGGUGGCUUGAGAUUCGUCUUAAGUGUUUAUAGCCUCUUGCCUAUGCAGUCGGAGAGAUUGAGGUCUGCAGCGUAGAUCCUUCGGGGCUAAAUGCAUUUGUGCUAAGUUAUAACAUUUUAUAGACAACUUGUUGACUAUGAUUUGUCUUGUAGCUUACUCGCUUAUGUUAUUUUACCUACGCUUAGGAUGUUGAUAGUCACAGCGUGUAC
Molecule: ribosomal RNA, 774 nt
Filed under: uncultured Neocallimastigales
Lineage: Eukaryota; Fungi; Neocallimastigomycota; Neocallimastigomycetes; Neocallimastigales
Description: partial large subunit ribosomal RNA
Rfam family: Eukaryotic large subunit ribosomal RNA
Source: RNAcentral